UGCCAGCCGCCGCGGUAAUACGGAGGGUGCGAGCGUUAAUCGGAAUUACUGGGCGUAAAGGGCGCGUAGGUGGCUCGAUAAGUCGGGUGUGAAAUCCCCGGGCUCAACUUGGGAAUUGCAUUCGAUACUGUCGAGCUGGAGUAUGGUAGAGGGAAGCGGAAUUCCCGGUGUAGCGGUGAAAUGCGUAGAUAUCGGGAGGAACAUCAGUGGCGAAGGCGGCUCCCUGGGCUAAAACUGACGCUGAGGUGCGAAAGCGUGGGGAGCGAACAGGAUUAGAUA
This 279-nucleotide ribosomal RNA is filed under the name uncultured bacterium. RNAcentral describes it as "partial 16S ribosomal RNA". It matches the Rfam family "Bacterial small subunit ribosomal RNA", at positions 506 to 784 of the family's 1533-position model. The record is from RNAcentral.